Long non-coding RNA from Drosophila obscura, 1539 nucleotides. RefSeq lists it as uncharacterized. The record is from RefSeq and is a predicted model, not a curated record. NCBI's taxonomy places the organism in Eukaryota, Metazoa, Arthropoda, Insecta, Diptera, Drosophilidae. The transcript is spliced from 3 exons.
UUAUCAGCGCUCCAUCGGCGCGCAACGAUCCCCGAUCCCCUACCCGUGAUUCCUGCGACUGUUCGUACCCAGACCGAGUCCGUGGUCCGUGUGGUGGCAGUUCCCCGUUCCCCUGGCAUUGGUGCUGCAGUUUCAUUUUGUGACCGACACUAACGGGUAAUGUAAUGGCUGGCCGCAGGACCCUACUCGUUUUGGCGAUCACAAUACUGAAAUUGCAGCAAAGAGCAGCGAAUAAAAUGUGUGUGUGUGUGUGUGUGUGUGUGUGCGUUCGUGCGUGCGCGGAGAAACAGUGUGAAAAGUGAUGUGAUUAAGGGAAAACAGACCGAAUGAGAACUGUCGAAUCAAGUAUAGCCACAUAUUCGGUGUUGCGCGAUCGAGUGAAUUUCAAACUGCAAAAGGUUUGCACCCGACGAAGGUGAGAGCGCAGACUGAUUAACUAAUCAGCGAUCCGCCGAUGUGUGUGUGUGUGUGCUCAGAUUGAUACUGUGUGGAAAUGUCACAGGAACGAGCAUUGAGAGUAUUUACGGAUGUCGCAAAUAUCAAGAACAGGCAAAAUGUUACAGCAAAUGGAAUUUCUGGUUGAUGAUUUCACACACAUCGGUCGGUAUAAUCGGCUACGACUAUUUGCACAUUCUCUUUGAUGGAAGAAACUGAUAGCUGCCUAUUGUAAGUUCAGCCAGUCAGUCAGUCAGUCAGCUGUCGAAGUAGAUGAUUCCAUUUCCGAAUUCCAAAAUAACAUCCUGCUCAUUAUUUCCUUCAUGUUUAUUGUCGGGCUGUUUGGUUGGGAAAUAACAAAUUACAAGUCGCUGAAUAAAUUGGGUUUGUUUUCCAGGAACCUGUGUGGGUGGCUGCCUGCUUGAUAUGUAUUGUAAAUGGAAAUUUUUCAACUGACAGGAGCAUCGGCGGGGCAGCGGCAGUGUCACAAAUAGUGGCCCAAAAACAUGAAACGAACAGAGGGCCCUUACCCACCACCCCCCAACCAUUCAUCCUAAAUACACGCACCGACACGGGUCGGGAGGAUACAUAAACAUGUCAGAUACGUUGUGUGUCUAGCAGAUACAUUUACAUUUCCCCAUAACAACCAGCGACAUUUGUGCGUGGCUCGUUUUGUAUUCUGUAUUCUAUGUUCUGCUUUUGUGCCCCCAAAAUUCUGUUCCCAAGGACCCGCUUUUCCCUCCCAUUAUCCUGUCGGGAAGCGUUAGGAAUUAUCUCCGUUCUGGACAUCUCCUACUGAUAGCACACGUUGCCUUGGUUAUUAUUUAUAUUUUUGGCUGAAAUCCAUACAUUAUUAAAGGACAUCCAUGUCACUACUUCUGCCCCCCAAAAUUCUGUACGCAAGUGUCACGAUUUGUAUUGAUUUUUUGCUCCGCACAAUGUUUGCCAUUUCUUGAUGACUUUCUUUACGGCUUUGAUGGCUGCUGAUGGUCCAAACUGCCUUAUUGUGGGCUAAUAGAGCGCAAUGGCAUUUACUGGUUAUCCUUGUGCUCUCAAGCCCUUGAAGUGUCCUGCAUUAAAGUUUAAGUCCCAUCAAUCGAAAGU